GUGGGGAAUCUUGCGCAAUGGGCGAAAGCCUGACGCAGCCAUGCCGCGUGAAUGAUGAAGGUCUUAGGAUUGUAAAAUUCUUUCACCGGGGACGAUAAUGACGGUACCCGGAGAAGAAGCACCGGCUAACUUCGUGCCAGCAGCCGCGGUAAUACGAAGGGGGCUAGCGUUGCUCGGAAUUACUGGGAGUAAAGGGCGCGUAGGCGGACAGUUUAGUCAGAGGUGAAAGCCCAGGGCUCAACCUUGGAAUUGCCUUUGAUACUGGCUGUCUUGAGUACGGGAGAGGUGAGUGGAACUCCGAGUGUAGAGGUGAAAUUCGUAGAUAUUCGGAAGAACACCAGUGGCGGAGGCGACUCACUGGCCCGUUACUGACGCUGAGGCGCGAAAGCGUGGGGAGCAAACAGGAUUAGAAACCCCAGUAGUCC
This 425-nucleotide ribosomal RNA is filed under the name uncultured bacterium. RNAcentral's name for it is "partial 16S ribosomal RNA". It matches the Rfam family "Bacterial small subunit ribosomal RNA", at positions 354 to 796 of the family's 1533-position model. The record is from RNAcentral.